CCUACGGGAGGCAGCAGUGAGGAAUAUUGGUCAAUGGACGCAAGUCUGAACCAGCCAUGCCGCGUGCAGGAUGACGGCUCUAUGAGUUGUAAACUGCUUUUGUACGAGGGUAAACCCCGAUACGUGGAUCGGGUUGAAAGUAUCGUACGAAUAAGGAUCGGCUAACUCCGUGCCAGCAGCCGCAGUAAUACGGAGGAUCCGAGCGUUCUCCGGAUUUAGUGGGGUUAAAGGGUGCGUAGGCGGUUUGAUAAGUUAGAGGGGAAAUGUCGGGGCUCAACCCCGAAACUGCCUCUCAUACUGUUGGACUAGAGCAUAGUUGCGGUAGUCGGAAUGUCUUGUGUAGCGGU
Molecule: ribosomal RNA, 347 nt
Filed under: uncultured bacterium
Lineage: Bacteria
Description: partial 16S ribosomal RNA
Rfam family: Bacterial small subunit ribosomal RNA
Source: RNAcentral